This 580-nucleotide ribosomal RNA is filed under the name Arthrobacter oryzae. RNAcentral's name for it is "bacterial SSU rRNA". It matches the Rfam family "Bacterial small subunit ribosomal RNA", at positions 61 to 654 of the family's 1533-position model. The record is from RNAcentral. Lineage: Bacteria; Bacillati; Actinomycetota; Actinomycetes; Micrococcales; Micrococcaceae.
GUCGAACGAUGAAGCCAGCUUGCUGGUGGAUUAGUGGCGAACGGGUGAGUAACACGUGAGUAACCUGCCCUUAACUCUGGGAUAAGCCUGGGAAACUGGGUCUAAUACCGGAUAUGACUCCUCAUCGCAUGGUGGGGGGUGGAAAGCUUUAUUGUGGUUUUGGAUGGACUCGCGGCCUAUCAGCUUGUUGGUGAGGUAAUGGCUUACCAAGGCGACGACGGGUAGCCGGCCUGAGAGGGUGACCGGCCACACUGGGACUGAGACACGGCCCAGACUCCUACGGGAGGCAGCAGUGGGGAAUAUUGCACAAUGGGCGCAAGCCUGAUGCAGCGACGCCGCGUGAGGGAUGACGGCCUUCGGGUUGUAAACCUCUUUCAGUAGGGAAGAAGCGAAAGUGACGGUACCUGCAGAAGAAGCGCCGGCUAACUACGUGCCAGCAGCCGCGGUAAUACGUAGGGCGCAAGCGUUAUCCGGAAUUAUUGGGCGUAAAGAGCUCGUAGGCGGUUUGUCGCGUCUGCCGUGAAAGUCCGGGGCUCAACUCCGGAUCUGCGGUGGGUACGGGCAGACUAGAGUGAUGUAG